RNAcentral lists this long non-coding RNA (212 nucleotides) under Fukomys damarensis (Damara mole-rat). RNAcentral describes it as "lncRNA (ENSFDAG00000027213.1)". Lineage: Eukaryota; Metazoa; Chordata; Mammalia; Rodentia; Bathyergidae. The record is from RNAcentral.
GAUUUUCCUAGAGAGCUCUGCAGCGUUUAACUUUGCCUCGCCUCCGUGUCGGGUGCAGGGAUGAAGUUGGGGUGCUCGGGCUGCUGUGGGGCAAUCCAUGUCUCUCAGGCCUGCAGGACCUCAUGCUGGUGUUAACUUUGUGUUAGGACAGUGCUGGAGAAAAAGAGAAGGUUAUUAAGGACGGUGAAAGUAAGACACAGGACCUUUCCUGC